UGGAAAGCAUUCAAGAUUGAAGGAAUCAAUUAGAGAAGAUCAAGGAAAGCAUCCAAAAUUGAAGGAAUCAAUGAUAGUGCCCAACACUGACGGAAUCAAUUAAGGCUAUACUGAAGAGAUUAAUCAAUCAAGAGUAUCAAAAAUCUUGCAAGAUAAUCAAUCAAGUAUACUAAAUCUGGAAGGACCAAGAUUCAAGGAAGGAUAUCCGCGCUAUCAAGUCAUGUAUAAGGAAAGUCAUUAAAGCUCACUCGUCCAGGCAAAGCGGUUGCUAAAUAACCUUAUUCUUGAAAAGAAUCAAUCUCUUUCUGAGGAUCAAAUCUCUUGGGUUGACAACUCUCUUUAGAAAUCAAGUCUCUCUCAAAGUAUUUAAACUCGUCUAUGUACCCACAUGUACUUUAACCGAACCAAAUACUCUCUCUUUGUUCUACUGCAAACAAACAUUGUAGCUCUAUUAUGUGUAAUAAGUUAGAGAAGAAAGAG
Molecule: long non-coding RNA, 480 nt
Filed under: Nicotiana benthamiana
Lineage: Eukaryota; Viridiplantae; Streptophyta; Magnoliopsida; Solanales; Solanaceae
Description: long non-coding RNA (NBEN_LNC019710)
Source: RNAcentral